GGGGGCGUAAAGGUUUCGACGGGGGUUGUGAGGUACGGUAAGCGAGUAGCGGUGCGGGCCCGCUAUAAAACCUGCAAAUGAAAGAAUAAACGACAACAAUAAAGUUGCGUUGGCGGCCUAAUUAGGCUGCCCGUCUUGCCCCGGAGCACCGCGGCCGGGAGCGAGGCGUCGAUGAGCGGUGAACGUGAACGGAGAGGUGCCACCCUCCCCGUCACGGCGUAGUGGCUACCGUAGCGUGUUGCCUGCCUGUCGGCGGCACGCGAGGGGAAUCCUUAUAGACCGGCUGCACUCGGAGAAAGCCGUAUCAAGUGACUUUCGGACGCGGGUUCGAUUCCCGCCGCCUCCACCA
Molecule: transfer-messenger RNA, 349 nt
Filed under: Oscillospiraceae bacterium
Lineage: Bacteria; Bacillati; Bacillota; Clostridia; Eubacteriales; Oscillospiraceae
Also listed under: 1 other name
Rfam family: transfer-messenger RNA
About the family: Bacterial tmRNA, also known as 10Sa RNA or SsrA, is named for its dual tRNA and mRNA-like properties. Its role is to liberate the mRNA from a stalled ribosome. To accomplish this part of the tmRNA is used as a reading frame that ends in a translation stop signal.
Source: RNAcentral